This 661-nucleotide ribosomal RNA is filed under the name Burkholderia sp. R163. Its description in RNAcentral is "bacterial SSU rRNA". It matches the Rfam family "Bacterial small subunit ribosomal RNA", at positions 63 to 720 of the family's 1533-position model. The record is from RNAcentral. Lineage: Bacteria; Pseudomonadati; Pseudomonadota; Betaproteobacteria; Burkholderiales; Burkholderiaceae.
CGGAGGCAGCGCGGGGGCAACCCUGGCGGCGAGUGGCGAACGGGUGAGUAAUACAUCGGAACGUGUCCUGGAGUGGGGGAUAGCCCGGCGAAAGCCGGAUUAAUACCGCAUACGCUCUAUGGAGGAAAGCGGGGGAUCUUCGGACCUCGCGCUCAAGGGGCGGCCGAUGGCAGAUUAGCUAGUUGGUGGGGUAAAGGCCUACCAAGGCGACGAUCUGUAGCUGGUCUGAGAGGACGACCAGCCACACUGGGACUGAGACACGGCCCAGACUCCUACGGGAGGCAGCAGUGGGGAAUUUUGGACAAUGGGGGCAACCCUGAUCCAGCAAUGCCGCGUGUGUGAAGAAGGCCUUCGGGUUGUAAAGCACUUUUGUCCGGAAAGAAAACCUCCGUCCUAAUACGGUGGGGGGAUGACGGUACCGGAAGAAUAAGCACCGGCUAACUACGUGCCAGCAGCCGCGGUAAUACGUAGGGUGCAAGCGUUAAUCGGAAUUACUGGGCGUAAAGCGUGCGCAGGCGGUUCGCUAAGACCGAUGUGAAAUCCCCGGGCUUAACCUGGGAACUGCAUUGGUGACUGGCGGGCUAGAGUAUGGCAGAGGGGGGUAGAAUUCCACGUGUAGCAGUGAAAUGCGUACAGAUGUGGAGGAAUACCGAUGGCGAAG